GAGUUUGAUCGUGGCUCAGGAUGAACGCUGGCGGCGUGCCUAACACAUGCAAGGUCGAACGGAACCCUUGGGAUUCGGUCUGGGGGAGAGUGGCAAACGGGUGAGUAACACGUUGGUGACCUGCCCCAAAGAGGGGAAUAACCACUGGGAAACGGUGGCUAAUACCCCAUGUGGUCUGUCGGUCGGACGGCAGAUUAAAGCGCCCCAUUAGGGGCUGCGCUUUGGGAGGGGCCUGCGGCCCAUCAGGUAGUUGGUAGGGUAAUGGCCUACCAAGCCGAUGACGGGUAGGGGCGUGAGAGCGUGAUCCCCCACACUGGCACUGAGACACGGGCCAGACUCCUACGGGAGGCAGCAGUGAGGAAUAUUGCCCAAUGGACGCAAGUCUGAGGCAGCAACGCCGCGUUGGGUGAU
RNAcentral lists this ribosomal RNA (411 nucleotides) under uncultured microorganism. RNAcentral's name for it is "bacterial SSU rRNA". It matches the Rfam family "Bacterial small subunit ribosomal RNA", at positions 9 to 409 of the family's 1533-position model. The record is from RNAcentral.